Molecule: long non-coding RNA, 2769 nt
Organism: Cyprinus carpio (common carp)
Lineage: Eukaryota; Metazoa; Chordata; Actinopteri; Cypriniformes; Cyprinidae
Source: Ensembl
GUUGUUAUUAGCUGAGAGUUUUGGUUAUGUAUCAUGAGACAAAGCUUGUGACUCACACCAAAUGUACAGUAUGGGAGUGGGCAACCCUACAGAGGCCAGUGUUUGUUGGUGAGUGAAGACAUUUGGUAACACAGUGAAGUAUCAGGAGCUGAAACCUGUCCAUAUUCUCAAGAAUGCAUAGGAGUUGCAAAACAGGUAUCUUUUGACAACUGCUUCUAUGUUUCACUGAUGAAUAGAUGUUUCUGAGUAUGUACUUAAAAAUAUUCAGGUCGGUAAAAAUAAUAUUCUUAAGAAAAACAUAAUUUGACACAAAAAGAGGUAUUUAUGAAUAAUUCAAUUUUAAAUGGUUUAAACAAAUCUAAAGUAAUUCAUGCUUUUUUGCAGUAUAUUCACUGAAAUUAGGCACUGGGAGAACAAGUCAUCCUCUUCUUCAUCUUCACUGACUGUUUUGAUUGAAGUGUGCAUUUUGAACGCGGGUGAAGUGAUUCAGUACAAUAAACUGCAGGCCGACCCAAAGCAGGGGAAAUCCCUGGAUAUUGGUAAAAACUAUAAACUGUACAGCAAUAUUCAUUUAAUGUGUUUGAAUGGAUGCAGAAAUGUGUUCUUCUCUCAUCAAACAGAUUAUACGUGUGUGUUUGUGUGUGUCAGUGCUGAAGGUAAAGCAUUGUCUGGUGGAGAACAUGACUUCAGGAACUGCAGAUGCUCAGCCAUUCUGUAAAAUGGUCAGAUAAUUUCCAUUGUUUAAUUUCCUUUUAAAUCUAGACACAACCAGGUUGUAUAUGCAAGGUGUCAUAUAGGCCAUACUCACUCUUGGGCAUUUAUUGAAGGGUGAAGAAGCACAAAAAUGUCAAUACUGUAGCACCAACUUGUCUAUAAAAAUAUGUUUUUGGCCUGUCCAAUUUUUAAUGUUAUGAGACAACUGUUUUUAUCAGGUCAAAUUUUAAGGACUUUAUGAACCCAAAAGAUCUAGAAUUUUUGUUGUUGUUUUAAAUCACAAAUACAUUUUAAGAAGAAUAUAUAAUUGUACCUAAUCUGUUUAAGUUUAAUUUUAUAAAAUGUUUUCAUUACAUUGUAUUUAUUGUUGAAUAUUUAAUAUACCAUGUAAUAGCUGGUGAAGCUGAAGUAGCAAUACAUUUAAACAAAACCAACCAUUAUUUAAUCAGUAUUUCAUUAAAAUACUAUUUUUGCACAAAUUAAAAACAGGACAACAAAGGACUAAAGUACCAGACUCAUAAAUACAGUAUAAAUAAUAAUCAUUAUUUCACAUUAGUCUGUUUGAAAACUCCAUCAUUGAGAGCAUAGACAGGUUCAUGUGUGUAUAUAAUGUGUGACAUAAAAAAUCAAGCAUUUGUGUGUUUUUAUGUUUCAGAUGGUCUGGUGAAGAGGCUGGAGAAAACAGCUCAACUUUAUAAAGGUGUUUCAUUCAUACUUUUGCUUCAUUUAACCAAUGACCGAGAGAGUUUAACAUGGAAAUAAUCUGUAUAUGUUGUGUGUGCUUUUUAUGAGCUCUCACAGAGGUACAGUAGAUGAUUCCUUGAUCCACGUUCAUCUUGUUCAAAAUAUGUAUGUCUACUGUGGAGGAUGAAACACAACAAUUCACCACCUAGUUGCCAACAAUAGGGCAGUAGGAACUGAUUCAACCCCAGAAAGAAGAUUCAGUAAUCUCUCAAAUGAGACAAUGGAAGGAGGAUAGUGUCACACUCAUGGAUGAGAUCAAGGGAGAUUUGACAGGAACCAACAGAAAGUUGAUGAAUGAAUGGAACAAGCUGCACCUUGAAGGAGGAUUCCAAUACUGAAGAUUGAGGGAGACAGAGCAAGUGCAAAAAGCUUGCACUCAAGUACCUCCGUGACAAGAUGGAACACAUGGGUACAGAGUGAGUACUGGGUCUGACAAGGGAGCAGUUCUACUGGCCAUUCAUGAAAGUUGAAGUGGAAAAGUGUAUGACUGCAAAAGUGCCCAUGCAUAAAACAGAAGAAACUGAUUGUACAUGUUUGUGCACCCAUGGGUAGCAUCACAACACACUCACCUAUGGAGCCAGUAUGCAAUGACUACCUGCACCUGGAGCCAAGCUGUGGAGGAUAUAAAUAUAUCCUGGUGGUCAUGGAUCAUUUCACAAGGUUCGUCCAAGCCUACCCAACCAAGAACAAGUCAGGGUGGACUGCAGCCAAGUGCUUGUUCCAAGAUUACAUACAGAGUUUUGGAUAUUUGGCCAAGAUACAUCACAACCAGGGCCGUACGUUUGAGAACUAACCUUUUCACACUCUCGAGUUAACUGAUAGCAUUGCAUGUCUCUGGGAAGCUCACAUUGUCAAUCACAUUUGGUGCACUUGCUAGUCACAUGACAGGGCACAGAGUGAAGCAUAGGAAGCCAGUGAAUUUGUGUGCAUCCAUUAUAUAUUCACUACUAUGGGAGGGAAAAGAGUUAAUUGUGUUUAAAGGGGUCAUAUGAUGUUGCUAAAAAGAACAUUAUUUUGUGUAUUUGGUGUAAUGCAAUGUGUUUAUGUGGUUUAAGGGUUCAAAAAACACAUUAUUUUUCACAUACUGUAGAUUAUAGUUUCUCCUCUAUGCCCCACCUUUCUGAACCGUGUCGAUUUUUACAAAGCUCAUCGCUCUGAAAAGCGAGGUGUGCUCUGAUUGGCCCGCUAUCCAGUUAGUUGUGAUUGGCUGAAUACCUCAAGCAUGUGACGGAAAUGUCACACCCCUUACCAUAGUGUGAUGCCGUGUCCUGGCACGAGAUAAAACCAAUAAAACCCAUUACAAAUGAGGCA